GGAUGCACUGCUGUAGUAAGGUGGGGCAGAGCAGCGGUUAAAAAUGGAACGGAGCCUUUGAUCCCGGGCCAGGGCAGAUGACUCCCAGGGUUGGGGUUUUUUGGGUGGACGUCAUGUUCUUGCUCUCCGUCUCGGGACGGAGUGAGGAGUUCCUCUCCUACCUAGUGAGCACAACAAAGCCUCCGGGGCCGGCCAGGGGGACGAGAGGGCCUGCAGGCAGGGUGGGGAGGAAGGGUGUGUUUGGGGGAGCCAGGGUUGUCCCUGGCAUCUCAAAGCACCAUGGCAAAGAGCGCGUUGCUGAGCCUCUGGGCUGGUGCUUUGCUGGGGGACACGGGGGCUGGCUUGGGCCAAGUGGUGAGAUCUUUGGAAAACUAACUGCCCAAAGCUCUGAAGCUUUCAGCCUUCACGCUAACGCACGGGCCCAGCUGGCUGGAGAUUAAAGAGCGCCGUCUCAAACCAAAAAGCAUUUGAAAUUGCACCACUGAGCUGGCAGGAAAUUCCAGCUUUUUGUAGAUGUAGGAGGCGUUGGAACGGCGAGGAGCCAUAAGGCAACGUUCAGAGGUGAAUCGCAGCAUCAGCACCUCGCCAGGGAAGGCUGCCCCACCCCGAGCGCUGCACUCGGGCACGGGGGGACCGUCCGCAGCCUUCCCAAAACGUUGGGGAGCGAUGGGAGGAGGAGCAGCUUGGCUGGCAGCCGAGCUCCUGCUCCAGCUGUCUUCAUCUGCAGAAGAGGCCUCGUAAGGCUCAGGGUGAAUCCCAGUGAGGGGCUCGGCGCUGGCUUUUCGCGUGUAGAGCUUCCACUGCUGUCAACUCCAGCGAGCCCCGGACGUGCCAAGAGAUCCCCAGCGCAGAUUUGGACGUCUCUGUCCUGCCCAAGAUAAACAGGCCCUUUGCUUCUCGGACUGAAGUGCUCAUCGCCUUGGAAGAUAACACAAAUUACCGGGGCUCUUAGCUGCUUGGAAAGGAGUCGGUGUGGAUUGAUCAUAGAGAAGAUUUGCCUGGAAGAAGCACGUAUGAUAGGAGAGCAAGAGGACUGCUUGGUUUUCAGGACCUUUAUGCUUUAUUUAGUGCAAGUGUGGGGACAGAGGGCAUGAAACGAGGCAGUCGGUGAGCAUCAAUUCUGAAAACCGUACAGAAAAUGAACGCGGUGGCUCUUUCUCUGCCGCUCCUAUGCAGGCUGCCAGAGAUUAUCACGCCGGUGACAAUGCUGGGAGGCAUCUCAAGAACUCAAGGCCUCCCGUGAAGCCAUUAGCACCAAAGGGAGGCGCCCCCCUCGCCCCCCGUGCUGAGCAGAGCUGGGAUCGAGCCCUGCCAAGGCGAGCGGCGCAGAGCAGAAUCCACGCUGACGACAGAUGGAACGAAUGUUAUGGACGCAUCCCAGGGCCGGGGCUGUUGCGCCACAUAAAUCAGUAGCACAACUUUGCCAGCUCCAAAUGCUUCGCAGGGCUGGACUUUCAGCCAGCUUCAUGUCUGGCUUUGCAACCCCAAAACCGUAUGGUCAAAGAAAUUGCGAAUGCGCGUGCCCUCGUGUGAACCUCCAGCCCGUGGGGCUGUUUUCGGUCCGCCUCGUGUAGAUAAACGUGACUAAAAAAGCCAUCACUAAAAGAUAAUCCCUUGAUCUAAAUCCCGGCGUUGCCCCACACUUAUGGGCUGUGGAUGCUGCAGAUGAAGUGUGAGGUUCCAGGCUGCAGAUGCUGUCGGAGCUGCGCCGGUCGCUCGAAGCAUGUCGUGCUGCCAACGCCAGCCAAAGGCGAUGAGAUCCCAAAUAAUCGGGGGGCCAAAAAAUAUUUCACGUUGCUUUCCCUGCCUGCGUGCUGGUGGCCGGGCUGCUCCUUCGCGGGGAGAAGCUCAAAGCACACAAACAUCGCGUGUGAAAACUCGCUCCUGUCAUGAAAGCUGCUUCCCAUACACAGCAUAAAUCCCAAGUGCUUGUGAUUUAAGACAAAAAAAAAAAAAGGGCAAAUAAAAAGAUUUGCUGUUAAAAUUAUGACUUGGCA
This 1997-nucleotide long non-coding RNA is filed under the name Anser brachyrhynchus (Pink-footed goose). Its description in RNAcentral is "lncRNA (ENSABRG00000018792.1)". Lineage: Eukaryota; Metazoa; Chordata; Aves; Anseriformes; Anatidae. The record is from RNAcentral.